This 492-nucleotide ribosomal RNA is filed under the name uncultured bacterium. Its description in RNAcentral is "partial 16S ribosomal RNA". It matches the Rfam family "Bacterial small subunit ribosomal RNA", at positions 29 to 507 of the family's 1533-position model. The record is from RNAcentral.
AGUGAACGCUGGCGGUAGGCCUAACACAUGCAAGUCGAACGGCAGCACAGUAAGAGCUUGCUCUUACGGGUGGCGAGUGGCGGACGGGUGAGGAAUACAUCGGAAUCUACUUUUUCGUGGGGGAUAACGUGGGGAAACUUACGCUAAUACCGCAUACGACCUACGGGUGAAAGCAGGGGAUCUUCGGACCUUGCGCGAUUGAAUGAGCCGAUGUCGGAUUAGCUAGUUGGCGGGGUAACGGCCCACCAAGGCGACGAUCCGUAGCUGGUCUGAGAGGAUGAUCAGCCACACUGGAACUGAGACACGGUCCAGACUCCUACGGGAGGCAGCAGUGGGGAAUAUUGGACAAUGGGCGCAAGCCUGAUCCAGCCAUACCGCGUGGGUGAAGAAGGCCUUCGGGUUGUAAAGCCCUUUUGUUGGGAAAGAAAAGCAGCAGGUUAAUACCCCGCUGUUCUGACGGUACCCAAAGAAUAAGCACCGGCUAACUUCGUG